GGGUGAUGGACUGCCUUUUGCAUAAUGAGCCUGCGAGUUGUGGUGUCUGGCAAGGUUAAGCCAAGUGCGAAGCCGUAGCGAAAGCGAGUCUUAAUAGGGCGAAAUAGUCAGAUGCUGCAGACCCGAAACGAAGUGAUCUAUCCAUGAGCAGGUUGAAGCUGGUGUAAGAGCCAGUGGAGGACCGAACCCGCUGACGUUGAAAAGUCUUGGGAUGACUUGUGGAUAGGGGUGAAAGGCCAAUCAAACUUCGUGAUAGCUGGUUCUCUCCGAAAUAUAUUUAGGUAUAGCCUUGUGUUGUAGCAUAUAGGGGUAGAGCACUGUUAUGGCUAGGGGGUCAUUGAGACUUACCAAACCAUUGCAAACUCCGAAUACCAAAGAGUGCGAGCGUGGGAGACAGACAUCGGGUGCUAACGUCCGGUGUCAAAAGGAACAACCAGACCUCAGCUAAGGUCCCAA
Molecule: ribosomal RNA, 456 nt
Filed under: uncultured bacterium
Lineage: Bacteria
Description: bacterial LSU rRNA
Rfam family: Bacterial large subunit ribosomal RNA
Source: RNAcentral